UACAGAGGUGGCAAGCGUUGUUCGGAAUUACUGGGCGUAAAGGGCGCGUAGGCGGCCUACUAAGUCAGACGUGAAAUCCCCCGGCUUAACCUGGGAACUGCGUCUGAUACUGGAAGGCUUGAGGAUGGGAGAGGGAUGUAGAAUUCCAGGUGUAGCGGUGAAAUGCGUAGAUAUUGCUCGGAAGGCCAGAGCCGAAGGGGCCCUACUGGUGCGCAACUGACACUGAGGCACGAAAGCCAAGGGAGCAAACAGG
This 253-nucleotide ribosomal RNA is filed under the name uncultured prokaryote. RNAcentral describes it as "partial 16S ribosomal RNA". It matches the Rfam family "Bacterial small subunit ribosomal RNA", at positions 524 to 776 of the family's 1533-position model. The record is from RNAcentral.